CAAUAGCGUAUAUUUAAGUUGUUGCAGUUAAAAAGCUCGUAGUUGGAUUUCGGGUAGGAUUUGCCGGUCCGUCUUUGAGAUGUGUACUGGUAAGUCCUAUCUUCUUGUCGGGGACCAGCUCCUGGGCUUCACUGUCCGGGACUGGGAGCCGACGAAGUUACUUUGAGUAAAUUAGAGUGUUCAAAGCGGGCUUACGCUUGAAUAUAUUAGCAUGGAAUAACACCAUAGGACUCCUGUCCUAUUUCGUUGGUCUCGGGACGGGAGUAAUGAUUAAGAGGAACAGUUGGGGGCAUUCGUAUUUCAUUGUCAGAGAUGAAAUUCUUGGAUUUAUGAAAGACGAACUUCUGCGAAAGCAUUUGCCAAGGAUGUUUUCAUUGA
This 378-nucleotide ribosomal RNA is filed under the name uncultured eukaryote. RNAcentral describes it as "partial 18S ribosomal RNA". It matches the Rfam family "Eukaryotic small subunit ribosomal RNA", at positions 592 to 976 of the family's 1831-position model. The record is from RNAcentral.